CUGCUGCCUCCCGUAGGAGUCUGGUCCGUGUCUCAGUACCAGUGUGGGGGACCUUCCUCUCAGAACCCCUACGCAUCGUCGGUUAGGUGGGCCGUUACCCCGCCUACUGCCUAAUGCGCCGCAUGCCCAUCCCUGUCCGGCCGAAGCCUUUCCUGCCUCCGGGAUGCCCCGUGG
Molecule: ribosomal RNA, 174 nt
Filed under: uncultured bacterium
Lineage: Bacteria
Description: partial 16S ribosomal RNA
Source: RNAcentral